GCCUUCGUGGUGUAGUGGUCAGCACGCUCGACGCGUAACCGAGAGGUCCGUGGUUCGAUUCCCGACAAAGGCG
Molecule: transfer RNA, 73 nt
Filed under: Stegodyphus mimosarum
Lineage: Eukaryota; Metazoa; Arthropoda; Arachnida; Araneae; Eresidae
Rfam family: tRNA
About the family: Transfer RNA (tRNA) molecules are approximately 80 nucleotides in length. Their secondary structure includes four short double-helical elements and three loops (D, anti-codon, and T loops).
Source: Rfam by way of RNAcentral